GAUGAAGAACGUAGCGAAAUGCGAUAAGUAAUGUGAAUUGCAGAGUUCAGUGAAUCAUCGAAUCUUUGAACGCACAUUGCGCCCCUUGGUAUUCCAUGGGGCAUGCCUGUUCGAGCGUCAUUUGUACCUUCAAGCUCUGCUUGGUGUUGGGUGUUUGUCUCGCCUCUGCGUGUAGACUCGCCUCAAAACAAUUGGCAGCCGGCGUAUUGAUUUCGGAGCGCAGUACAUCUCGCGCUUUGCACUCAUAACGACGACGUCCAAAAGUACAUUUUUACACUCUUGACCUCGGAUCAGGUAGGGAUACCCGCUGAACUUAAGCAUAUCAAUAAGCGGAGGA
Molecule: unclassified non-coding RNA, 337 nt
Filed under: soil metagenome
Description: partial contains 5.8S ribosomal RNA, internal transcribed spacer 2, and large subunit ribosomal RNA
Rfam family: 5.8S ribosomal RNA (bases 1-120)
Source: RNAcentral